Herpailurus yagouaroundi (jaguarundi) is the source of this 990-nucleotide long non-coding RNA. RefSeq lists it as uncharacterized. Lineage: Eukaryota; Metazoa; Chordata; Mammalia; Carnivora; Felidae. The record is from RefSeq and is a predicted model, not a curated record. The transcript is spliced from 2 exons.
UCAACCCUAAAUUAUUACUUAAAAGACAAGUUUUGUAUAUAUCUCAGGUAAGAUGGUACACUGUGACUUUCAAGUACAAGAAAAACAUUUUUUUUUUCAUUAUGUGCAGCUCUCAGACUCUUGAGAAUGUGUUGUGCCUAGAUUGGCAAACACAGAUCUACAUCAUGAAAUAUUUUGAUUCUCAUAGCCAUGGAUGAACUUCCCACUUUUUUUAUUUCCCUCAGCCUCUCAGAGCCUUUUGAGGUGAUUAUUACAUAGUAAUUUAUGCCCUUGCCCUCAGACCCUUAUGUAAUCUUUAUCCUCUCCAGGGAAAGGAUGAACCCUGGUAACUCUCACAACACCUAGCACCCAGGCUUUGCAUGUGGUAGGUCUCCAUGGAUGCUAUCCAAAUGAAAGCUUCCCACAGCUUCCAGAUGGUAGGGAAUAAGGACAUUGAACUUUUGCUAUUUUAAGGAUGAUAAAAUGUUACCCCCAACAUAAAAGGUUCUUCUGAAAGUGGAUUGUCAGUCACUGGAAUCCACUGAGUGUUCACAAUGUGGCAGGCUCCAUGCCAAGUCCUUACUUACUUGUUUCAAAUUUUUUACAACAGAUCUGAGGUUGUCCCAUCUUAUUAUGAAGAAACUACAAUUGGGGAGAUUAACAAAACCUUCUCAGAGCAGAUACUUAAACCCAGGUCUUCUGAUUCCAAGUAUAGUGCUGGUUCUACAGCACAAUGUCUUUCUUCUAAGAAACCGAUUGAGAAAGAAAAACAGAGAAAAGGAAGAGCCAUGAUGUUUCUUUGGUGGUACCUGAUGUACAUCAUGGGUUUGGAGAUGAAGACUAGCUGCCAUCACCUGAUCCCUGGACAAAGCUUUCCCAGUGAAGAUGGACACAAUACAUUUUCUGCAUACUGUGAAAAAAAAAGGGUCUGCCAACCCACUGAGUCACAAUGUUAUGUGACAGCAUCAUCUUUGUGGACUGAAAGAUUUCUAAAAGUCAUUUUCUAUUUAA